GGUAGCAAGGCCCAGAAAACUUGAUGCCCUGUUGUUAUUCCUAUCCUUAUACCAAGUUGUCCGUCUUGGGCUCGCGACAGCCACCUACGUCACCAGGACAGCUGCCACCCUUAAGGCUCCGUGUGAGGUUUCCCUCUCGGUGGUCUAACGGGAUCUCUCCACGUCCCUGGUCUGGCCGCUUCCGGCCCGGAGGACCCGCCCAGAGCCGCCGGAAGCACGCCCUGGGUGCGCGAGCGCCCAGCUAGGGAAGCGGGCCGAAGGGCUGCAUGUGUGGCAAUGUCUCUCGGAGCGCGCUGCAUUUCUAGCUUUACUAGUUUUCAUCAGGGCUCCCUACUCACUGCUGAAAUGACCAUUCCUGCAGGAAAGCAAGCAAUAGACCGAGGUACCCUAUGUCCAACUGCCUCCUCUGUAAGGAGCCCCUCCCGGGUAGCCGGAAGCUUGUUUCAUCCUCGCCCUGACAAAGCUGGUGCCUGUGCUGCUCUUCACCUUGUUCGUUGGUUCCGUCCUAAGGCCUCCAUCAGAACGCGGUCCCCGAUUGUUAAAACAGCAGUUACAUCCCCCUGGAAUUUAGUUUCCUUUCAUUACUACCUUUCUUCGCUGGGAAUUACAACUGUUUAGCGUGUA
Molecule: long non-coding RNA, 624 nt
Organism: Hyaena hyaena (striped hyena)
Lineage: Eukaryota; Metazoa; Chordata; Mammalia; Carnivora; Hyaenidae
Exons: 2
Source: RefSeq, a predicted model, not a curated record